This 494-nucleotide ribosomal RNA is filed under the name uncultured bacterium. Its description in RNAcentral is "partial 16S ribosomal RNA". It matches the Rfam family "Bacterial small subunit ribosomal RNA", at positions 28 to 507 of the family's 1533-position model. The record is from RNAcentral.
GACGAACGCUGGCGGCGUGCUUAACACAUGCAAGUCGAACGGUGAAGCGCCUUCCUUUUUGGUGGGUGUGGAUGAGUGGCGAACGGGUGAGUAACACGUGAGUAACCUGCCCCCUUCUUCUGGAUAACCGCAUGAAAGUGUGGCUAAUACGGGAUAUUCUGGGUCUGUCGCAUGAUGGGUCUGGGAAAGAUAUUGUUUCGGUGGGGGAUGGGCUCGCGGCCUAUCAGCUUAUUGGUGGGGUGAUGGCCUACCAAGGCGGUGACGGGUAGCCGGCCUGAGAGGGUGGACGGUCACACUGGGACUGAGACACGGCCCAGACUCCUACGGGAGGCAGCAGUGGGGAAUAUUGCACAAUGGGCGCAAGCCUGAUGCAGCGACGCCGCGUGAGGGAUGGAGGCCUUCGGGUUGUGAACCUCUUUCGCCAGUGAAGCAGGCCUGCCUCGUUUGUGGGUGGGUUGACGGUAGCUGGAGAAGAAGCGCCGGCUAACUACGUG